Molecule: long non-coding RNA, 1704 nt
Organism: Rhineura floridana
Lineage: Eukaryota; Metazoa; Chordata; Lepidosauria; Squamata; Rhineuridae
Exons: 3
Source: RefSeq, a predicted model, not a curated record
GGAUGCAUCUCUCCUUCAAUGGGUUCCUUUGACAUCAGAUUGUCCCUAGAAGUUAUUUUCUGCAAAUACUACUACAUAAUAAGUGUAGAAAAAACAGAAACUUCAAAGAAAACGUACAGUCUCUGGGGAUGGUGAAAUGGAGAUGGUGAUGAUGAAGGUUGAUGGUGGGUAAUUAUAUUGUAGAAUUGUCGAAGAGGUAGAUUCAACAAAAGAGAGGUAACUUCUGAGAGAGAGACAGCUUCUGGAAGAGGCAAUUCUGGCAGAGGUAUAACUUCCGAGAGAGAGGGGGGGGUUAAAAAGGAGUGUUGUCCUCUGAGCAGAGCUUGGGAAAGUUACUUUUUUAAACUACAACUCCCCUCAACCCCAGCCAGCAUGACCACUAGACUGGGCUGAUGGAAGUUGUAGUUCAAAAAAGUAACUUUUCCAAGCUCUGCCUCUGAGGCUACUAGGCCUGCUGCUAGCUUCACUGAUGACUGAAACAACAGAGGCAGGUUUUGGUGGGAAAAACUAACUAACCAAUUAAAGAAAGGGGUGAUGUCAUCUGACAGGAAGUUACUAUAAAGCUAAGGGAUCAUAAAGACAGACCACUGGAGUUCCAUAACAAUAACCUAAUAAAUGCCUUCUUUAGCACAAUGGAAGGAGUCUCCCUGGGGAGGCAGCACAACUACUAUUAAGUAUCUUAAAUAUAGCUACAGAUUUCUGAACAUUAAUUGCAGAUGUACAAAAUAAUGGAGAUUUCGUUUGCAACUUGUGUAACUAGACUAAUUCCACAGUGCAAAAACCUGAUAGAAUUCACAAUAGCAAGGUGAUUAGCUAUUAGAAUAGGAAGUGAUAAUGAGCAAUGGUCCAGUACUAAGCACAAAGUGACAAACUGGCUAAUGAAUUUGAAUGACAUGAUGAAUAGCAAGCUGCUCAGCCUAUUGAGCAUUAGCUAAUAUAAUGCAAAAUCACACACAAACGAAUCAUUCUUCAAAUCCUACCACUGUGAAAAUUAGGUAUCCAGUUUUUGAAUGACAGUGCAAUCUUACAUUUCAGAAGUAAGACCCAUUGAGUUUGCUGGGAAAAGAAAGAAAUUAGUUAAUUCUGCUCUGAGCUUUAAAACUUACAAGGCCUUUUCAAGACAAAUUCUAACAAAUCUCGUCACAGUAGAAGGAUGCUGACACCUGAAGAAAUGGACCUAAUUUGCAGAUACAUUUGUGAGGUGAUUGAUUAAGGAGUUUGUUUCCUGAAACAGAAAAGCAUAUUAACCUGCAGGUAUUUUAGCCACAUCUCCAGUUAAUUGUCUUGGGUUGGGCACAUGACCUUAUACUGAAUUCCAAACUCUACAGAGCUGCAUUUAUGGCUCUCAUUUAUAUAAACUUUAAUCCUGAUAUGAAAAUGGAGGUGAAUCAAAACAAAGUAAAUUAUCAGGACACUCUUCAUUAUUAAUAACUUAGUGCAGCCUUCACGUGACCCAUUGAAGAAGUGAACAAAUCUUGAACUGUAAUGAAUUGAUUUUAUGCUCUCUGCCUUUGGUAAAUGUACACAACACAAGAUUGUAUGCUUCUUACAUAAGGCUUAUAUAUGCAUAUAUAUAAGGCACAUAAUUUUCACACUGGCAACACAGCUUUAAGAUUUUGAUGGGGUUGUACACCCUCUGAAAGACCAAGUUCAUAGUCUGGGGGUGCUCCUUGAUCCAUCUUUGUUGCUAGAAGUCCAGGUGAU